GUGAAGGAAGAGAAAGAGGAAAAAGAAUAUAUUUGUGAGGGCAUUUCUGCAAAAUACUAGCUAAAGCGUUUGAAGGGACAUAUUUGUGAGGGUAAAAUGUCAUUUCACGAAUUUACUGUUAAAAAAUAAACAGCUCUUUAACGGAUCCUAACCAAAGGUACAUAUCUGAAUACAUUAGGACUUUUGCAGGGAUAUAUUAUAAAAGUUGAGUUUUGCAGGAAUAUAUCUGUAAUUCACCAUGUUU
RNAcentral lists this long non-coding RNA (244 nucleotides) under Ananas comosus (pineapple). RNAcentral's name for it is "long non-coding RNA (ACOM_LNC031045)". Lineage: Eukaryota; Viridiplantae; Streptophyta; Magnoliopsida; Poales; Bromeliaceae. The record is from RNAcentral.